Molecule: ribosomal RNA, 254 nt
Filed under: uncultured bacterium
Lineage: Bacteria
Description: partial 16S ribosomal RNA
Rfam family: Bacterial small subunit ribosomal RNA
Source: RNAcentral
UACAGAGGGGGCAAGCGUUAUUCGGAAUUAUUGGGCGUAAAGGGCGCGUAGGCGGUUCUUCAAGUCUCUCGUGAAAUCCCUCGGCUUAACUGAGGACGUGCGGGAGAUACUGAAGGGCUUGAGUCCGGAAGAGGGUGGUGGAAUUCCCAGUGUAGCGGUGAAAUGCGUAGAUAUUGGGAGGAACACCGGGUGGCGAAGGCGGCCACCUGGGCCGGAACUGACGCUGAGGCGCGAAAGUGUGGGGAGCGAACAGG